This is a long non-coding RNA of Antechinus flavipes (yellow-footed antechinus), 1058 nucleotides long. RefSeq lists it as uncharacterized. The record is from RefSeq and is a predicted model, not a curated record. NCBI's taxonomy places the organism in Eukaryota, Metazoa, Chordata, Mammalia, Dasyuromorphia, Dasyuridae. The transcript is spliced from 2 exons.
AUCGGAGCAGUCCUUGUCCACUUUGUCCCGGACCUGCCAGAGGCCGCAGUAUCCAAAACACAAGAAUUUCACCCAGAUUCUUGAGAACAAAGUUGUCAAAAUGGUGCCAAAAAGUAGAAAAGAAGCAAAAAUCAGGGCCCCAGGUUAAGAGCCCAAGCCCACGGACUGAAUUCCUGCUGAGGGGAAGCUCUCACUCUGCAGGCUGACGAAGUCCCGGCUCUGGACCAGAAUAGAACAGCGGCUCUUACCUCAUCCUGUGGCUUCGAAGUUCAGAUGAGACCAAGUGUUUUGCAAACUUUAAAAAGACCCCAUUGGUGUCAGCCAUCAUUGGAAAGAGUAGGGGAACCUGGACCCCUGCUUGUGGUCCUUCUGUUGCGGUGGGAAGGGGGCCCCAAAACUUCCCACUCCGGAGGUGACUCACCACAGUCCUAGUCAAGGAGCAGAGUUUCUCGAAAGUGCUCUGGCUCUGAGGCUUCCUGUGCUCAGGCCUGAGCAUCCUCAGAAGCAGGGGCAGGACUCUCCUCAGCCCGGCCUCUGGUGGGCGGCCUUCUGGCCCCUGCCGGGCUCCGGCUUCCCUCCGGUGGCCGCUCUGCUCCUCCCAGCCUGAGUUCUGGCGGAGCUGGCUGGAGACAGACCGGGCGCCCUCCCCCGCCUCCUCCGGGGCGCCGACCGAGGGAGAAUCCCGGGCGCUGGAGCUGGAGGGGCUCGUUGGCGUCAUGUGAGGGAGAGCCAGGUCCGGAUAGAGUUAGGGCCUCAGCUGCCGCCCCUGUUCUUCACAAUCUCCUCCCGGUUUCCGGUUCCUGUCCCGUCCCACGGCAGUCUCUAGUUUGGUGACGGCUAAAGCCGGGGAAACUCUCCCGAUCCCACAGCUCCGGCGAGAGCACCGGGGGGAGCACUCUGGGCCAGGUGCAGUCACCGACUCCACAACUCCUCCUUCUCCCACCUCACACAGCCGGGGCAGGCCCCGGUCAAAAAGAGGUUUCUGGGACUUCUUAAAGUAAACUUUCUUAUAAAUAAACGAUUUAAAAUAACUUUUAAAAAAUAAACUCUAAAGUUCA